Molecule: long non-coding RNA, 284 nt
Filed under: Gossypium barbadense (sea-island cotton)
Lineage: Eukaryota; Viridiplantae; Streptophyta; Magnoliopsida; Malvales; Malvaceae
Description: long non-coding RNA (GBAR_LNC016312)
Source: RNAcentral
CUUGUUUGGCCACAAAUUCGGGAUAGUUAUCUUGAAGCAAGUUAAGGGCUUGGUUGGUAGCUUGUCUGAGUUCCUUUUUACCAGGUCCAGGUGAAUUCUUGAGGUCGUUCACUUGAACCAUGGUAUUGAUACCAGUAGGAUUGAAGUCGAGUUUUCGGAUGCUCUUUUCCAGGAACUGAAUCCUCCAUCUCAAGAACUUGGACCGUUUUUCUUCAUCAGCGAAAGUGUUUUGAUACAGCUCUUUGUUUUGGAAUUCUCCAUAGACGUUGUAACAGACGGGAUGA